RNAcentral lists this ribosomal RNA (503 nucleotides) under uncultured bacterium. RNAcentral's name for it is "bacterial SSU rRNA". It matches the Rfam family "Bacterial small subunit ribosomal RNA", at positions 410 to 905 of the family's 1533-position model. The record is from RNAcentral.
GAAAUCCCUCGGGAUGUAAACUUCGCAAGAACGGGAAGAAUAAGUAGGGGACAAUACCCCCUAUGAUGACGGUACCGUUUGUAAGCUCCGGCUAACUCCGUGCCAGCAGCCGCGGUAAUACGGGGGGAGCAAGCGUUGUUCGGAUUUACUGGGCGUAAAGGGCGCGUAGGCGGCCAGCACAAGUCAGUUGUGAAAUCUCCGAGCUUAACUCGGAAAGGUCAACUGAUACUGUGCGGCUAGAGUGCGGAAGGGGCAACUGGAAUUCUUGGUGUAGCGGUGAAAUGCGUAGAUAUCAAGAGGAACACCUGCGGCGAAGGCGGGUUGCUGGGCCGACACUGACGCUGAGGCGCGAAAGCUAGGGGAGCGAACGGGAUUAGAUACCCCGGUAGUCCUAGCCUUAAACGAUGAAUGCUUGGUGUCUGGGGUUAUANAGUCCCCGGGUGCCGUCGCUAACGCUUUAAGCAUUCCGCCUGGGGAGUACGGUCGCAAGACUGAAACUCAAA